CGUUGUUUCCAAAGUCCUUAAUUAAUUAAUAUUUUUAAUAUUAAUGGGAUCCGGGGAUAAGGUGUAGAGGUGAGUAUGUUAAAUAAGAUACCCUAUAGUCUUCUUAGCUAGGAGAUAUAAAGUAAAGGAAAAUUUCUGCUAUAGGAUUCUAUUUAAUUUGAUUAGGUAGUUGAUAGGGUAACGGCCUACCAAGCCAACGAUCAAAAGUCAAGUUUGAAAGAACCUCUGGCCACAUUGGGGAUGAAAUCUCCCAAGUAGUAAUAACACUACCAGCAGUCGAGAAUAUUAGUCAAUGCUCGUAAGAGUGAACUAGCUAACUGAAAUCAUAGAAUUUUUUCAAAUUCAUGAUGUCGUAAGGGAAAAUAAUGAUAAUACCUUACUAUGAGUGUCGUCCAAAUCUGGUGCCAGAAGACUCGGUAAGACCAGAGACGCAAACGUUAAUCAUCAUAAACAGGCGUAAAGGGUUUGUAGGCAGCUUUUAUAAAAUAUUUCAAAAACUAAAUUAAAAGCUAGAAUCAAAAAGAGGUUAUAGUGUAUAACGCCUAGAGGAGGGCUGAUAUCCAUAGAUCCUAGGCAGAAUACUCAGGGCGAAGGCCACUCUCCACUAAUGAUUGACGCUGAGAAACGAAGGUUAGGGUAGGAAAUAGGAUUAGAUACCCCGGUACUCCUUUCUGUAAACGAUGAAUGGUAGUCAUUAGUUAAAUUAAAAAUAACU
This 715-nucleotide ribosomal RNA is filed under the name Ganoderma sp. 1 TRK-2010. RNAcentral's name for it is "SSU rRNA". It matches the Rfam family "Bacterial small subunit ribosomal RNA", at positions 63 to 841 of the family's 1533-position model. Lineage: Eukaryota; Fungi; Basidiomycota; Agaricomycetes; Polyporales; Polyporaceae. The record is from RNAcentral.